CCUACGGGUGGCAGCAGUGAGGAAUAUUGGUCAAUGGACGAGAGUCUGAACCAGCCAAGUAGCGUGAAGGAUGACUGCCCUAUGGGUUGUAAACUUCUUUUAUAUGGGAAUAAAAUGUUCCACGUGUGGGAUUUUGUAUGUACCAUAUGAAUAAGGAUCGGCUAACUCCGUGCCAGCAGCCGCGGUAAUACGGAGGAUCCGAGCGUUAUCCGGAUUUAUUGGGUUUAAAGGGAGCGUAGGUGGAUUGUUAAGUCAGUUGUGAAAGUUUGCGGCUCAACCGUAAAAUUGCAGUUGAAACUGGCAGUCUUGAGUACAGUAGAGGUGGGCGGAAUUCGUGGUGUAGCGGUGAAAUGCUUAGAUAUCACGAAGAACUCCGAUUGCGAAGGCAGUUCACUGGACUGCAACUGACACUGAGGCUCGAAAGUGUGGGUAUCAAACAGGAGUAGAUACCCCUGUAGUA
Molecule: ribosomal RNA, 460 nt
Filed under: uncultured bacterium
Lineage: Bacteria
Description: partial 16S ribosomal RNA
Rfam family: Bacterial small subunit ribosomal RNA
Source: RNAcentral